RNAcentral lists this unclassified non-coding RNA (205 nucleotides) under soil metagenome. RNAcentral's name for it is "partial contains 5.8S ribosomal RNA, internal transcribed spacer 2, and large subunit ribosomal RNA". The record is from RNAcentral.
AACACUGUUAACCUGCGGUACCUGCGGAGGGAUCAUUACCGAGUUUACAACUCCCAAACCCCUGUGAACAUACCUAUACGUUGCCUCGGCGGAUCAGCCCGCGCCCCGUAAAACGGGACGGCCCGCCCGAGGACCCUAAACUCUGUUUUUAGUGGAACUUCUGAGUAAAACAAACAAAUAAAUCAAAACUUUUAACAACGGAUCU